ACACUAUAUAGACACACAUAUAAAGAUAUAUUAUGUUUCUCUCUCAAAACCAAACAUGGAAGUAAAACCUAUCAUGAUAUGUUUUGGAUUAAUUUAUCUGGGAGUUCUGCUGCCAAAAUCCUUGUCAGAAGGAAAACAAGAUCAACCAACAGAAACUGCGAACAUGCUCUCAAGUGCCGAACCAAUGGAGCAAGAUGAUAAUGCUCUAAACUCGCAGUCUAAGACAAACGUGAUGCAAAAAACGGAAAGUUCACAGAUUACAGACAUAAACACAGAGUUUCUGUCAAAUAUGAUUGUACCGACAACUCUCAAUAAGGAUCCAUUGAUAGGAGAAACAAUGAAUGAGGAAGCUAUAAACAAAGAAAGAUCUUUCACAAAAGCAACAUCAUCAUUGGAAGAAAACAACAUAUAUAUUAAUGAUAUGUCUAUAACAAAAGAGAAUCAAGGUUUACUUUCUAGUGAGAACCAAAAUCAGUUCACAAACAAUUUCAGUUCAGUACAGCCUUCUACAACAAAAGCUGUCGAAAGAAGACCAUUUGCACUGCAUGUAACUAAUGCAACUGAAACAAGUAUAAGUGUGUCGUGGAACGUAACAGAAAAUAUUAAACAAUUUAUGGUCAGCAUAGAUUGCUGUAACCAGAAGUAUAAGGAUUUUAUAGUCAACACUACCAGUACAACGAUUACAAACCUCACAUGUAGUGGGUGCUGUUAUGAUAUAGCAGUAAAAAGUCUCUAUGGCAAUAAUAAAUCCAGUCAACCAAUAAGUACAACUAAUUAUACUGUACCCAGGAUGCCAAAAGUUGAAGUCAUAGAAAAACCAACUUCAGUUGUGAUUAAAAUUUUUCAAAUGGAUCAAGAUUGUGAGUCUUUGAAAAAUGACCAGAAGUGGGAAGUAACUCAGAGCAAAGAUUCAGAAAGUUGCGUGAUAGAAAAGGCGAAUUUAAAAAUACGUUUUAAUUACAAUUUAACAAUAUGGAGAGAAGUGGAUGUAUGGAAAAGUAAAAAAGAGUUAAUUACCAUCUAUCUUAAAGAACCUAAUGCAGUGAGUGGUUUAUCACACAUAGUUAACCAAGGUGAUAUACAUAUCUACUGGCAGAAACCAAAAAAUUCAAAAGUAAAUUCGUAUCAAAUCACUGUUACUAUUGAGAAUCCAUAUAUAUAUAAUUGCACAAAUACAACUACAAACAUGACUUAUUACAUAAUAAACGACUUUUUACCAGGUACCAAGUACACAGUUGAUGUAUUUGCUAUUAAUUAUAUUGGAACUAGUACCAAAAGUAGCCUAUCUUUUACAACUCCAUCUAAAGUUCCUGGUGUUGUAAACAUCACCAUCAGUGAAGCAACAGCUUUUAAUGUCACUAUUUCCUUAAGUCACCCAGAGACUUUUAUGGGAGACAUCCUUGGGUAUUUUAUUGAGAUUUACAAAGGUCAAAAGAUGCCAACUGAUAAAAAACCACUGAAAAUAUAUCACAUAAAAUGUUAUAACUGUUCACAGGCAAAUGCUUCCAGACCUGACAGCUGUCCUUGUUCCCAACCAUGUAAUAAUAUGCAAGAGAAAACUCUCCACAGCUUGGGAGAACACUUUUCUUUGAAUUCACUGACUCCAGCUACAUCUUACUUAAUAUCAGCCCAAGCUUAUACAUCUGCUGGUUGUGGUAAUAUAAGUGAGAAAAUCUUCAUGACAAAUGAAAGUACUCCAUCUAAAGUGCAAAAUCUUGUUAUUAAUAUAACUGAAACUGAGGCUUAUAUGGAAUGGCAAGAGCCCAAACAUCCUAAUGGAAAAAUACAGUAUUAUUUGCUCUAUCUCUACCAUAAUGAUUCGCUUAGUGUAUUAGGAAAUAGCACUGAAAAGAACUUUGUGUUUGAAAAUCUUGAACCAUAUCAAAAUUAUACAGUCAGUAUCGUUGCCAUGAAUUCCCUGCCAGGUGAAAAAUACACUCGAAAAUUCAAGACAAAGAUUGGUGCACCAGAACCUGUAAACAUCACUCUUGUCAAUAGAACCAGUAAAUCAAUAACUAUAAAGUGGAAAUCCCUGCACCCCAAUGGACCAAUCAAAAAAUAUAUUGUCAGCUGGAAAACUGUAAAAGAAAGUACGCCAAGGUCUAUGAAUACAACUAAGAAAAAUACUUAUACCAUAACUGAUCUUGAACCCUGCAGAGAUUAUAAGAUCAAAGUAGAAAUCUGUAAUACCAAAUAUUGUAAAGACAGUAAAUUAUUUCGUGCACAAACAAAGAUUGGAGUCCCACACCCGGCACGAAAUGUUAAUGCUAAGGCAGAGUCUGCAACAAGCAUUCGUGUCUCUUGGGAGGAACCGAUGCAGUACACAGGACCAACUACAUAUAUCAUUCAGGGACAGUGUUUAAAGUCCUCAAGAAUACUGAAGACUUUUCUUGGGCCAUUCACUGUCUCAGGUUUCAAUAAUACCUCGUUUCUUGUAAAAGACUUAGCAGAAUACUGGCCAUACGUAUUUGAAAUUACAACAAGUACUGAAGCAGGAAAUGGUUCCACAGUAACCACUUCACGCACUCUGACAGAGGAAUCAACGCCUGGACCAGUCAAAAGUUUGGAUAUUUAUGUCAAUUAUUCCUGCUAUAUUGCAUUACUGGUUACGUGGAAGAAACCACUUCCUGAAGAUGAAAAUGGUAUUAUCACUAAAUAUGAAAUAACUUAUUGGGCUGAUAAUGAUGACAAAAAGAAAAUAUGUGUUAAUGCUACUCUGUUCUCAACCAUGAUGAUUGCAUUAGGAGAGCAUAGCUACACAAUACAGAUACGUGCAGAAACUUCAAAAGGAUUAGGUGACACAAGGAACAAAACCGUUUAUGUCAAACCUCAAAUUCCUGUGGUACCAGAUAAUGUGUUUGUUACAAGAUCAAAUGAAGAAGUUGAGGACAGUAGCAGGCAGAUUGCUAUAAACCUGCCCAGUAAGUUCUUUAGAGAUUUCACAUUUGGAAGACCAGUACAAUGGGGCUUGGUCAUUGCUCUGUCUGAAGCUGUUAACGAAAGUGAUCAGGAACAUUCACAACUUUAUCCAAGAGAGCUAAAAGAAUGGAAAGAGGUAUAUGAUAAAGAAACUGCAUAUUCUUACCGACCAACACCAACUGACUGGAAGCCACCUUCUAUUCUGAGUAACGACAUGAACACUAUUUACAUACUUGGCGCUGAAGAGGAUUGUGAAGAUACCAAAAUAUAUUGCAAUGGCUAUUUGAAACCCGACAGAUAUUACCGUGUCAAAGCUUUCAUGUGCACAAAGGGAGGAUGUUCAGCAACCAAGUAUUCAGCACGAAUGCAUACAGAUAAAGACCGUACAGCUAUCUACAUCACAGUUCCAGUCUUGCUAGUAGCUGCUACUGUAGCAAUGAAUAUAGUAUUUAUCAUGUGGCACAAGAAACUCUAUUGUUUCAAGAAAAAACAAAUACCCACAGUUUCAAGUCUUGUUGAUGCCAACCAAAAUGGAAAGGUUAAUCAUUCUUUCAUGAUGAAAAACUCUGAAUAUUCACGACCAAUUAUGUUGGCACAUUUCCACAGCAAAGUGGAAAUGAUGAAAAGAGACUCAAACUUACAGUUUUGUGAAGAAUUUAAGCUGCUAAAGAGUCUCUCCCCUGUGCAACCUCAUGUUGCUGCUGAAUUACAAGUAAACCGCACCAAGAACAGAUAUACCAAUAUCUUGGCAUAUGAUCAUUCUCGAGUCAAGCUGUUACCUAUGGAUGAUGAUGAAGGCUCUGAUUACAUAAAUGCAAAUUACAUACCUGGCUAUAGCCUACACCGAGAGUACAUUGCUUCCCAAGGACCCCUUCCCAGCACAAAGGAUGACUUCUGGCGGAUGAUUUGGGAACAGAAUGUAUCUAUUAUUGUCAUGGUUACAUUGCCUGUGGAACGUGGAAGAGUCAAAUGUGAGGUUUACUGGCCAAAGAAAUCUGAACCAGUUUACUUUGGUGAUCUUGUGGUGCAGCUGAAAUCAGAAUCCAAUCUUUCUGAUUAUGUCAUCAGAAUUAUGGAUGUGAAUAUGGGUGAAACUACAAAAGAAGUGAAACAGUUCCACUUCUUGAAGUGGCCAGAUUUCGGUUGUCCUCAGAAUACAUCAUUGCUGAUCAACUUUGUGCAAACAAUUCGCACACAUAUGCCUUAUACGGAUACUGGACCAACCCUGGUACACUGCAGUGCUGGAGUCGGACGUACAGGAACAUUCAUUGUCAUUGACAGACUGCUUCAACAUAUACAAUGCCAUCAUGAAGUAGAUAUCUUUGGCUUAAUAUUAGAACUGAGAAAGCACAGGCCAAAUAUGGUACAGACUGAGGACCAGUAUGUAUUUAUCUACCAAUGUAUAGCAGAUCAUUUGAAACAAAUGGAGAAAAUUGAAAAUGAAGGUAUUUAUAUGAACGAAACAGGAAUGUGAGAAAAUUAAAUUCAAAGAUUCACAUUUUACUACUGCUGAAAAGAAAUAAUUAACAUCACUGUGCCAGAUUUUUCAUUUGUAUACCAACUUUGAAAUUCGUUUUGCUGCACAAAGUCUGCAUGUGCAUAAAGUAUGUGUGUGUGUGCAUGUAUGAGAGAGAGUGUGUGUGUGUGUGUGUGUGUGUGUGUGUGUAUGCACAUGUAUUCAUGAAUACACA
Molecule: unclassified non-coding RNA, 4610 nt
Filed under: Octopus sinensis (East Asian common octopus)
Lineage: Eukaryota; Metazoa; Mollusca; Cephalopoda; Octopoda; Octopodidae
Description: phosphatidylinositol phosphatase PTPRQ, transcript variant X2
Source: RNAcentral